UUUCAGGCUUUACAAUGCCUUGAUGAAUCCGUCUGCACAGUCAUGGGUUUUUCCACUCUUGUCCUUUCAGUGAAACAGCUAUUAUCCCGGGACAGCUGUUGUUUGGCCAAUCUCCUGACACUACUUGGCUCCUAUCGUCUGUUGUUAUCAGCCACCUCGGUGCAUGUUGUCUGUUCUGUUUGAAAGUAUGCAUCAUCAGCUGAACUUCAGGCAUUUAUGACAUCUUUCUGAGCACAUCGGUCCCUUCCUCUGGAUUUGAGCAUUCACCAUUUGCUCUGCAUGUACUUUUUAUAUUUCCAUAUUCAAAGACAUUUUGGACUCCAUUUGGACAUCUGCACAUAUGGUUUUGUGUAUUUUGUUACCACGUUUUGUAAUUUUAUAUGGCCUUAUGUUUAUCCAUGCUAACAUGUGUGUUACCGAUGUGGCUGUCUGCUAUAAUGUUUGUUGAUAGCUGGUUUUUCAUUUUUUUCAUAAUACAUUUAUAUAUUAUUCCUUA
This is a long non-coding RNA of Hemicordylus capensis (graceful crag lizard), 496 nucleotides long. RefSeq lists it as uncharacterized. The transcript is spliced from 2 exons. Lineage: Eukaryota; Metazoa; Chordata; Lepidosauria; Squamata; Cordylidae. The record is from RefSeq and is a predicted model, not a curated record.